RNAcentral lists this transfer RNA (73 nucleotides) under Candidatus Woesearchaeota archaeon. RNAcentral describes it as "tRNA-Phe". It matches the Rfam family "tRNA". Rfam says of the family: Transfer RNA (tRNA) molecules are approximately 80 nucleotides in length. Their secondary structure includes four short double-helical elements and three loops (D, anti-codon, and T loops). Further hydrogen bonds mediate the characteristic L-shaped molecular structure. tRNAs have two regions of fundamental functional importance: the anti-codon, which is responsible for specific mRNA codon recognition, and the 3' end, to which the tRNAs corresponding amino acid is attached (by aminoacyl-tRNA synthetases). tRNAs cope with the degeneracy of the genetic code in two manners: having more than one tRNA (with a specific anti-codon) for a particular amino acid; and 'wobble' base-pairing, i.e. permitting non-standard base-pairing at the 3rd anti-codon position. The record is from RNAcentral. Lineage: Archaea; Nanobdellati; Candidatus Woesearchaeota.
GGGCUCGUAGCUCAGCUGGGAGAGCGUCCGACUGAAGAUCGGAAGGUCAUGGGUUCAAGUCCCAUCGAGCCCA